GGCGCGUCUUGCAAACUUUGCCUGGUGCCCCCCCUGCCGGCUCUGGGAGGAAACGGGAACCAGCUCCCAACCUUGGGGUCUGCAGCCGGGGACCAAUGGUUUUCUCAAUAAUUUUCCUGCUUUUGAGUACAUAAUUCUAUGCAGAUGAUAAGCAGAUGAGUCGGGGAGGGGGGCAUUUCCCAGCUAACAAAGAGCUUUGUUAACGCUGGAGCCGUGUGCCCUUAAUCAUGUUUCGUUUUUUAGAAAGAGCCUUUUAUAGUGUGGGCGGAGCUAACUGAACCCUAGUUAAAAUCCUCUACAAAGUAGUUGAAUAAUUUUGCACAAGGCACUUACCCUCUUUGGACCUCUGGCCCUUUUUAUAACAUGAAGGGCUAGAUUCGGGUUCUGGGUGAGGGACUGGGAUAAAGGAACAAAUCAGAUUCCAUGUGAAGCCUGUGUACAGUCUGAGGCCCCAAGCCUUUUAAGAACCACUAUGUCUACUAGGGUUAACUGCCCUCUAAAUUGUCCUAAUAUGGCUUCUUAUUCCUUGAUGGAGAAUCCUAGAGGAAGGGUGUACCCACACUUUAGCUUAAAUAAAAAGGUAUUUAUUCCUAAAACUGACGGAGGGCGGGGAGGGAGCAUGACCAAGUCUCCCUCUGUCGCCCAGGCUGGAGUGCAGGGCGUGAUCUCAGCUCACUGCAACCUCCGCCUCCCAGGUUCAAGCAAUUCUCCUGCCUCAGCCUCCCGAGAAGCUGGGAUUACAGGCGCCCACCACCACGCCCGGCUAGUUUUUGUAUUUUUAGUAGAGACGGGGUUUCGCCCUGUUGGUCAGGCUGGUCUCGAACUCCUGGGUUCAACCGAUCCUCCUGCCUCGGCCUCUCAAAGUGCCGGGUUUACAGGCGUGAGCCACCCCUCCUGGCCCUAACAUUUUUAUACAAGUUUGCCAUCUCCGUACCACCACCACCACCACACACAGCACCCUCAAGACUCCCUGUGAUCCUGGGAUGCACUCAACGAAGAGUGUGUGGCCCAGGAUUUGAUGGAAAUGCUACAAGAGAAGCAGGCUCUCCCCUUCUGAAAUGAUGAGUGAUAAUGACCAUACAGGUCAACUUUUCCACCACUUGGAGGGAGCCUGUCAAAGAACAAAGGCAACAGAGAAGAGAGCAGAGCUGAGGUUGGGUGAGAGGGAGAAAUUCCUGAGUGCUUGAAUCCCACAUGCCGGAAGCCGCACCACACUUGGACUUCUCAAUACAGGAGCCACUGAGAAACCAAGUCAUGCUGAAGACCUGGAAAUCCCAGCAGGCUGCAAACCAGCUGCAACUACAAUGGGUCAGCCCUUUUGAGAUGCUGCUGACUACCCACUUAUCUGCCAAGUUAGCCAGUGUUAAGCCAUGGAUUCACCACGCUCAGAUAAAACCUGCCCCUCUGGGAUCCCUCCAGAAAAAAACAGGCAUGCUGUUGUGAACCCUAAGAUGGCCUUAAGUUAAUAUUCAAUGCCCAGCCAAAGACCCUAAAUAAGAAGUCAUAAAGGAAACAUGUGCUUUUCAGAGUCUCACUCUGUCACUCAGGCUGGAGUGCAGUGGUAUAAUCUCAGCUCACUGCAACCUCCACCUCUCAGGUUCAAGCAAUUCUCAUGCUUCAGCCUCCCAAGUAGCUAGGACUACAGGUGUGCACCACCAUGCCCAGGUAAUUUUUGUAUUUUUAAUAGAUACAGGGUUUCACCACGUUGCUCAGGCUGGUCUUGAACUCCUGACCUCAAGUGAGCCACAUCUGCCUCAGCCUCCCGGAGUGCUAGGAUUGCAGGUGUGAGCCACCACACCCAGCCAUGAAUCAGAAAUACUUUUUAAUAGGCUUAGGAUUGUUCUCUUGGAUUCCUUAAGGGAUCCACUUUAAUUCUUGGGUGUUUUUUUUUUUUUUAAUCAUGGUGCUCCAACAAGCGGGAUGCCAGUCAGGUAAUCCUGAGCACUUCAGAUUCAGGGGUGAUGUUUGCAUUUCCCAUCAUUAUCCCACAAUGCACCCCUUAGCAUUAAGUAGCCAAAAAGGCAGACAACCAUAUUCCCCAUGAUCGAAAAAUUGAUGAAUAGAAAAAAGGGGAUUAAAACCAGCCCAAUUGUCCCAUAGAAAUGAUAUUACGGUUUUUAAAAGAAACAUAAAAAUUAACCUUCCUGUUUUUAAAAUUUAAAACUUACAUUUAUCUCAUCUGAAUUCCUUCCUCAAAAAACAGACACUCAGGCAAAAACAAAAACCUAAAACUCAUCAGAUCACUGUAUCCAGACAGAGACGCCAGACCCCUCAUCCAUCAUGAUUGCUUCUAUACUCCUCCUUAAUUCCUAUUUUCCCACCUUUCCUGCUAUACAAAACCCCCAAUUUUAGUCGGUCAGACAAACACAUUUGAGACUUUAUCUCCUGUUCUCCUUGGCUGCAACACCCCGUUAAAGUUUUCUUCCCUGGCAAUAGUUACUGUCUCAGUGAUUGGCAUUCUGUGUAACAAGCAGCAGAACCUAGACUGGAACCCUGGUGUUUCAGUAACAUUACCUUGUAGUAAAUGCUGUUGUGUCAUGCCCAGAUUCACUUUACCAAGCCCAGAUCCCACAGAUUAAAGGGCUCAGCUCCACAAGACUUCAGACACCAGCCACAAAUGGGGUCCCCAGGUGACCCACACUUCUGCCCAGUGGACUAUAAAUUCAAGGGUUCUGUGACUUUCCCUACCCAGCUUUGAUAAUUCACUAGAAUCCUCACAGAACUCAGGAAAAUGCCAUACCUACUAUUACACUUUAUUAUGAUGGACACACACGAGCAGCCAGAUGGAGGGGUACUGAGGAAGCAUCUGAAUGCAGGAGGCUCUGUCCCUGGAGAGUUGGGAUGAGCCACUCUCCUGGAUGUGUUCACCAACUCAGAAGCUCUCCAAGCCCCAUUGUGUAGGGAUUUUUUAUGGCAGUUUCAGUAAGUACACAUGAUUGAUUAAAUCAUUGGCCAUUGGUGAUUGAACUCAAUCUCUAGCCCCUCUCCUGCUCUCAGAGGUGGAAGAGCAAGGCUGGAAGUUCUAACCUUCUCAGUACAUGGUUGGUUUUUCCUGUGUCCAGGUCCCAUCCUAAAGCUACCUAGGCCCCCUCUGCCCAACAAGAGUCUUCUCAUUAGCAAAAGAGUAAUUUCCAAGGGUGUUAGGAGCUCUAUGCUGGGAACCAGGGACCAAGAGUAAAUAUAUAUUUUGUAUUUUACCACAGGUACCAAUCACCCUCCAGAUCUAAGAAUGGCUUCAGGCUGGGGCUGCAGUCACCUCUUUGCCCAGCUUCUCCCCUGCCCUAUUCUGCUUCACUUGCAUCCUUAAAGGUUCCACCCAAGAGCUCUUCUACAAGAAAGCACCUAUAAAGCCAGACACAUUGGCUUAUGCCUAUAAUCCUAGCACUUUGGGAGGCCAAGGUAGGAGGAUGGCUUGAGGCCAGGAGUUCAAGACCAGCCUGGGCAACUUAGUGAGGCCCCGUCUCUAUAAAAAAUAAAAAAAUUAACCAGGUGUGGUGGUGCACGUCUCUAGUCUCAGCUACUCAGGAGGCUGUGGCAGGAAGAUGGCUUGAGCCCAGGAGGUUGAGGCUGCAGUGAACUAAGAUCAUGCCACUGCACCCAUCUUGGGCAACAGAAUGAGAUCCUGUCUCUAAAAAAAUAAAAACAAUUUACAACAGUAAGCACCUGUACACAAGCCCCAUCUCCAGUCCUGUUUCUAGGGCUUCCAAUUUAACACACCUAGAGGCUGGGCAUAGUAGCUCAUGCCUGUAAUCCCAAUACUUUGGGAGGCUGAGGCAAGUGAAGCACUUGAGGUCAGGAGUUCGAGACCAGCCUGGCCAACAUGGCAAAACCCCAUCUCUACUAAAAAUGCAAACAUUAGCUGGGCAUGGUGGCACAUGCCUGUAAUCCCAGCUACUCGGGAGGCUGAGACAGGAGAAUCACUUGAACCCAGGAGGUGGAGGUUACAGUGAGCCAAGAUCACACCACUGUACCACAGCCUGAGCAACGAAAGAAGACUCUGUCUAAAAAAAGUAAAAAAUAAAAUAAAACACACCUGGAGCUUUCUAC
Molecule: long non-coding RNA, 4047 nt
Filed under: Homo sapiens (human)
Lineage: Eukaryota; Metazoa; Chordata; Mammalia; Primates; Hominidae
Description: HSALNT0369841
Source: RNAcentral